RNAcentral lists this transfer RNA (82 nucleotides) under Patescibacteria group bacterium. RNAcentral describes it as "tRNA-Leu". It matches the Rfam family "tRNA". From Rfam's summary of the family: Transfer RNA (tRNA) molecules are approximately 80 nucleotides in length. Their secondary structure includes four short double-helical elements and three loops (D, anti-codon, and T loops). The record is from RNAcentral. RNAcentral also lists the same sequence under 1 other name.
GCCGAUGUGAUGAAACUGGUAAACAUGCGCGACUCAAAAUCGCGUGCUUCCGGGCUUGUGGGUUCAACUCCCACCAUCGGCA